CAGUCGCCGCGGGAAUACGUAGGUGGCUAGCGUUGCUCGGAAUGACUGGGCGUAAAGGGCGCGUAGGCGGCAUGCACAGUCAGAUGUGAAAUUCCUGGGCUUAACCUGGGGGCUGCAUUUGAUACGUGUGAGCUAGAAUGUGAAAGAGGGUCGUGGAAUUCCCAGUGUAGAGGUGAAAUUCGUAGAUAUUGGGAAGAACACCGGUGGCGAAGGCGGCGACCUGGUUCAUGAUUGACGCUGAGGCGCGAAAGCGUGGGGAGCAAACAGGAUUAGAUACCCGCGUAGUCCCUGUCUCUUAUAC
RNAcentral lists this ribosomal RNA (301 nucleotides) under uncultured bacterium. Its description in RNAcentral is "partial 16S ribosomal RNA". It matches the Rfam family "Bacterial small subunit ribosomal RNA", at positions 509 to 807 of the family's 1533-position model. The record is from RNAcentral.